Molecule: ribosomal RNA, 253 nt
Filed under: uncultured bacterium
Lineage: Bacteria
Description: partial 16S ribosomal RNA
Rfam family: Bacterial small subunit ribosomal RNA
Source: RNAcentral
UACGGAGGGCGCAAGCGUUAUCCGGAAUCACUGGGUUUAAAGGGUGCGUAGGCGGCUUGGUAAGUCAGAGGUGAAAGCCCGCAGCUUAACUGCGGAACUGCCUUUGAUACUGCCGAGCUUGAAAGAGGUUGAGGUCAGCGGAACGUGACAUGUAGCGGUGAAAUGCAUAGAGAUGUCACAGAACACCAAUUGCGAAGGCAGCUGGCUGGGCCUACGUUGACGAUGAGGCACGAAAGAGUGGGGAGCGAACAGG